GGAAACAGAGGACUUCUCUGGAAGUCCUUUCCUGACCUGACUCUCCAGCCAGCGUCAAGAUCCCUUCUUCUCAGCCCCCACAGCUCUGUCUGUCCGGGCUGAUCUGGACUUAUUUACAGAACUGAGACAGUAGUAAUUAAUAAGGUUGUAGGGUAGCAUGGGAAGUAAUGAGCAUCCUGUUGGUCAAAGAGAACAAGAAUGAGGUAGUGAUCCUCAGACAAAGAGCCUUGUGGUGAGAGUGCACACAGGUGGGUGCACUCACUCCCCCCAGAGUCCAAGAGGCUUGAAGCCCUGAACCUUGAGCAGUAAAAGACUGUGGUGUAUGGCAAAGCAUAGUGCUGCGUGCUGUGCCAUGUCUUUCCUCUCUCUGAUCCCUGCUCCUCAUCCAUAAAACAGAGAUUACCGCACCUAACACACAAGGCACCAUUCUCUCCUUUGCAUUAUCCCCUUCUCAUUUUGAGCCAGACACAUGGAUGGAUACCUGGAAGAGAUUCCAUGUCCCAGUCUGCCUGACAGUGAAAUGCCGCCAAGUGACUGAGUUGUCGUCCAAGGGAUGUGGGCAGAAAUGACAGGUCUAAUUCUGUGCUUUUUCUCCUCACACAGUCCUGGGAUUCUGAGGGCUGGAGUGCUGAGCCACACUGGACUGCAGAUGAUGCCUAACAACAGUGGAAAAGAAGGGAAAGGGCCCCAGUCCUUCACAGCUCCCCGGAGCAGAGUGCCUGCCCCAGUGACCCUCGGAUCCCCCUUUACACGAGCCUGGGGAGACACCAUACUCACCAUGAUGACUUUCCUCAGAAACUGCCAGACCUCUGUAGCUGGGUUGGAAUCUCAUCCUUCAAGUACUCAACAACUUUCAAUCCCUCCCUCUACCUACUGUCAAGUGGCCAAAUUCUGUACACUGUCAUUGAAGACCUUCUAACAUUUAGCUGAAACCUAUAUUCCCAGCCUCACCAUCUGAUCCUCACUCCUUGUUUCUCUCCAUUACAUAGUUUAUGGUGCAGCCACUGCUUGAGAUGUCUUCCUCACCUGCACUAGUCAAGUACGGCUCCUAACUACCUCAAGACUCUGCAGCUUAAAGCAACAACCGUGUAUUCUCAGUUGCAUAUCUGUGGGUCAACUGGUACUUGUCUGGGUUCAAAGCUCCUGGCUUUGGCUCUUCUGUGGAUGAGCUCAGGGCUACAGUGUGCAUUCUGGGACCAAGGCUGUCUCUUCUCAUGGUGGUAGCAGAAAGAUAACAGUGUGGAGCAACUGAGUAUGCACACCUAAAGCUCUGCUCACUCCACGAUCAAGUCACCUGACAGUGCCCAGAGUCGAGGAACAAAGAAAUACAUGUGCCCAUUACAAAGCUAAAAGAAGUCAUGGUCAAGCCUUGCAUCAUUGGAAGCUAGGCAAAAGAAGAGGAGGGCAAUGAAUAAUUUUUAUCUAUAACCUAAUCUAACACACCAUCUCUAAUGAAUCUGGAUGGUAUGGUAAAAGACAUCAUCAGUUGUAGAAAUGGAAGGCCUGGGUUUGUUUUGUGCCUAUACAUCUUACCUUCUGAGAGGCUCAGAUACACUGCACUCCUAAACUAUUUCAUGCAUUCAACAGAAAUGCACUAAGAGUCUGCUAUGUUUAGGAAUAUUCUGGACAACCCUGAGCCAGACUGGUGAACAAGGCAGAUGUGUGCCUGAUCUCCUGGCAUUACAAAUAAAACUCUUAACCUUCUCAAUGUCAGCUUGCUCAUCCACAAAGUGGAGAAACAAUCUAGAAAUGCACGGAAAAGCCUGGGAGGGGCCGGCCUUGGAUACAGUCACAGUAUCUCCUUGGAAGUGAAUUCUCACCGAACUGAAUCAAAACAAUGAGUUCCACAUAGAUCAAGGGUCACCCACCGAUGGGAACAUAUGGAAGUCUAGCUUGUGCCAGGUAGGCUGGCCCAGCCCAAGCUUCCUGCCCACAGACAUGCUCAUGGGCAGACAGGGGCAGGAGUCUCCUUCCUGACUUCCCCAGAAGCACCCACCUCAAGGUCAUGCCACAAUGGGUGCUCAAAACAUUCACUUCGGAAUCCAGACUCCAGGGCCUGCACAAGCCAUCAUUUUCCUCAAUCUUUCCUGGAAACCACCUCAAACACUGAGAUUUCCACAAAAGCCUUCCCAUUCACCCAGAGAGAAAAAUGCAGCUAAUCAAAGCAAUCUGGACUUUCUUUCCAUUCCCACCACCUCUCCCACCCCACCCAUGAGUGAAACCUCCCUAAGUGAUUAAAUGUUAUAAUAAGGAUUUGGCAUAUUUACCUUGUCAGAGAUUGUGCUUUUGUGGUAUCUCAUGGAGCACAGAUGGAUUCAAGAGUCAACAGUGAGAUGGACUAUCAGUAGAGACCAAUGAGGAAAGAAAACAAGAAAGCCUCAAGAUAAGUCAAUAAUAUCUAAUCACACACAGACGGGGCCAAGCAUACAACUAACUAGGCCUUUCCGGUAAAACUAAC
RNAcentral lists this long non-coding RNA (2458 nucleotides) under Fukomys damarensis (Damara mole-rat). RNAcentral's name for it is "lncRNA (ENSFDAG00000030680.1)". Lineage: Eukaryota; Metazoa; Chordata; Mammalia; Rodentia; Bathyergidae. The record is from RNAcentral.